AUGAACGCUAGCGGCAGGCCUAAUACAUGCAAGUCGGACGGGAUUCAGGAGCUUGCUUCUGAUGAGAGUGGCGCACGGGUGCGUAACACGUAUGUAACCUACCUUUAUCAGGGGGAUAGCCUCUCGAAAGAGAGAUUAAGCCCGCAUAAAACCACAGCACAGCAUUGUGUAAUGAUCAAAUAUUUAUAGGAUAAAGAUGGGCAUGCGGAACAUUAGCUAGAUGGCGGGGUAACGGCCCACCAUGGCGACGAUGUUUAGGGGAUCUGAGAGGAUGGCCCCCCACACUGGUACUGAGACACGGACCAGACUCCUACGGGAGGCAGCAGUAAGGAAUAUUGGUCAAUGGGCGGAAGCCUGAACCAGCCAUGCCGCGUGCAGGAAGACGGCCCUACGGGUUGUAAACUGCUUUUAUACGGGAAUAAACCCAGAUACGUGUAUCUGGCUGAAUGUACUGUAAGAAUAAGGAUCGGCUAACUCCGUG
RNAcentral lists this ribosomal RNA (481 nucleotides) under uncultured bacterium. Its description in RNAcentral is "partial 16S ribosomal RNA". It matches the Rfam family "Bacterial small subunit ribosomal RNA", at positions 29 to 507 of the family's 1533-position model. The record is from RNAcentral.